GACGAACCGUCCAAACGUUAUUCGGAAUCACUGGGCUUACAGAGUUCGUAGGCGGUCUGGAAAGUUGGGUGUGAAAUCCCUCGGCUCAACCGAGGAACUGCGCUUGAAACUACCAGACUCGAGGGAGAUAGAGGAAAGCGGAACUGAUGGUGGAGCGGUGAAAUGCGUUGAUAUCAUCAAGAACACCGGUGGCGAAGGCGGCUUUCUGGGUCUUACCUGACGCUGAGGAACGAAAGCCAGGGGAGCGAACGGG
Molecule: ribosomal RNA, 253 nt
Filed under: uncultured bacterium
Lineage: Bacteria
Description: partial 16S ribosomal RNA
Rfam family: Bacterial small subunit ribosomal RNA
Source: RNAcentral